RNAcentral lists this unclassified non-coding RNA (204 nucleotides) under uncultured Trechisporales. Its description in RNAcentral is "sequence contains ITS1". Lineage: Eukaryota; Fungi; Basidiomycota; Agaricomycetes; Trechisporales. The record is from RNAcentral.
ACGCAUCUCUGGCGGGAUCCGACGCGCCCUGCUCCGGCCCCAAAGCCGUGCAGCGGGCGCCCGGUCCCGUCCAACCUUUGCAAACCCACCGUGCACAUUCACGGCAGAGGGCCCUCGGGGCGAGAGCUUUGGGGGCUCGAAGCCGCUUCACUAAACUCUUGUAAAAAGAAUGUACUGCGGCCUCUGCGUCGCCUAAAUACGAAA